UAUAUUUUUACAUUUUAAACACUUUUUGGGUAGUUUCAGUUUUCUAGGUGUUGGGUUAAAACUGCUGGGUUAUUAUGUUGGGUUGUUUGAAGAGGCUCACGUGCUUCGCGCCCUUGAUGUUUGAAUGUGCUCAGCAAUGGUCGUCGUGAAAGGACAGAGUCACUGAAGCAGUUGUUUCAAGAGUGUGCAGAGUUUUAACGUCCAUCCAUUGAUGAGGCUAGCAAGACCUUCAUACAACUUCAGCCAAUUGCAACAAAUGUGGUGGAAUUUCGUCUCUGGACAGAAUCCUCGAAACCCUUUCCUUUCGUCCUGGCCAUGGGAAACAUGCAGCAGAUCUCUCAAUCUUUUUUCUCAAUCAGUCUCUCUGAAUACGGAAGUGACUUAAACUGCAAUUCGGCCAAGAUGGCGACGGCACGCACCGCCUACUUUAAGCUUCAAAAAUGCUCUUCACAAACCAAUGGGUGACGUCACAGACACUACUUGCAUAUUUUUUACAGUCUCUGGUUUAAAGGCAUUUUAAGUGCUUAAAAAAAUAAAUACCCCAGGCAAUGUGCUUCUAUGGGAAUUCCUGUAGUCUGUCAUUUUUCAAAUGGAUGAAUCCCCUGCUGUUCGAUUCCUUUGUACAUCUUUGUUCGCGACGAAUAAAUGAAGUAUUUUUAGUCAAAUACAUUCCAUUCUGUGAAACUUAAAACAUUUGUUCUUUAAAAAAACUUUACACAUCUAUGAAUGAUUUUACUUUUAAUUUAACAAUUACAUUGUUUCUUUUUUACACUGCUGUAGUUUUGUUUAUGUACAUUUCAGUAUUUCAUAUAUAUACUGUAAAAUUACAAAUUCUGUCUUAAAUUCAAACGAAUUGAUUCAACCUGUUACAUUGUUACUUCAAUGUGCAUAAUUUAUGAUAUUUUAUAAAUAUAUUUAUACUUGGGUCAGUAAGCAGUCCUUUAAAUGAUUUUGCAACUUACAACUGUAAAAAUGUAAGAGUUUGUAGUUAUUUUGCAAUCAAAUAAACAUUUAUUUG
Misgurnus anguillicaudatus (oriental weatherfish) is the source of this 1018-nucleotide non-coding RNA. NCBI's taxonomy places the organism in Eukaryota, Metazoa, Chordata, Actinopteri, Cypriniformes, Cobitidae. The record is from RefSeq and is a predicted model, not a curated record.